Molecule: ribosomal RNA, 93 nt
Filed under: Symbiodinium sp. Oku17
Lineage: Eukaryota; Dinophyceae; Suessiales; Symbiodiniaceae
Description: partial 18S ribosomal RNA
Rfam family: Eukaryotic small subunit ribosomal RNA
Source: RNAcentral
ACGUUGCGUUGGAAAGUUUCAUGAACCUUAUCACUUAGAGGAAGGAAAAGUCGUAACAAGGUUUCCGUAGGUGAACCUGCGGAAGGAUCAUUC